This 29-nucleotide small RNA is filed under the name Bombyx mori (domestic silkworm). RNAcentral describes it as "ovarian small RNA-19790". Lineage: Eukaryota; Metazoa; Arthropoda; Insecta; Lepidoptera; Bombycidae. The record is from RNAcentral.
UAAUGGCAGCCAUGUGGCGGGGCCAAUUA